UGAGUGCGAGAGUGCGCUGGUAAUUGCGAUGGUUGACGGGAAUCCGGUGAGAGUCCGGAGCGGUCGCGCCACUGUGAUCGAGGCACACCCUCGACAGCCAGAUACCGGGGCCAUCGCAUGGGCUUUUAA
RNAcentral lists this non-coding RNA (129 nucleotides) under Rhodococcus sp. (in: high G+C Gram-positive bacteria). Lineage: Bacteria; Bacillati; Actinomycetota; Actinomycetes; Mycobacteriales; Nocardiaceae. The record is from RNAcentral.